RNAcentral lists this transfer RNA (74 nucleotides) under Chloroflexota bacterium. RNAcentral describes it as "tRNA-Leu". It matches the Rfam family "tRNA". From Rfam's summary of the family: Transfer RNA (tRNA) molecules are approximately 80 nucleotides in length. Their secondary structure includes four short double-helical elements and three loops (D, anti-codon, and T loops). Further hydrogen bonds mediate the characteristic L-shaped molecular structure. tRNAs have two regions of fundamental functional importance: the anti-codon, which is responsible for specific mRNA codon recognition, and the 3' end, to which the tRNAs corresponding amino acid is attached (by aminoacyl-tRNA synthetases). tRNAs cope with the degeneracy of the genetic code in two manners: having more than one tRNA (with a specific anti-codon) for a particular amino acid; and 'wobble' base-pairing, i.e. permitting non-standard base-pairing at the 3rd anti-codon position. RNAcentral also lists the same sequence under 1 other name. The record is from RNAcentral. Lineage: Bacteria; Bacillati; Chloroflexota.
GCCGGCGUAGACCAACGGCAGAGUCCGACGAUUUAAGACCGUCGUCAGUGCGGGUUCGAAUCCCGCCGCCGGCA